Molecule: long non-coding RNA, 658 nt
Filed under: Homo sapiens (human)
Lineage: Eukaryota; Metazoa; Chordata; Mammalia; Primates; Hominidae
Description: HSALNT0305470
Source: RNAcentral
UACAGAUGUGAGCAGGACCAUUCCUGGCCUCCCGGCUCUGAGGAGGCGAAGCGCAGGCCCACAGCUGUGCGGCAGGAGCCACCCUCACAGCAGAGCCGGUGUAGACGCUUGAACGGCUCCUGCAGACACUCCCCUCUCCCCCUCUUAAAAAAACAAAUGCCCUGGCCUCCAUAGCCCCCAACAUACCUGCUUGUGCCCUCCUCUCUCCACUGGUAUCACAAACAGAAACAUCAAUCUGCCUUUGUUUUGCCAGAGGGGCAAGGCUGUGGAACCCCAGAAGACAGGCCUCUGAGAGGACCCGGGUCACCCGGACCUGGACUCAAAUCCCAUCCCUGUACCUCUCCUUGGAUGAACCAUCGAACACUGAGCUUCCAUUUUGCAUCUUCCAACUGCACAGAGAAUUCAUAGGCAAGCGGAGGCCUGAUGUGGAACUAAUGGGGCUCUGCGUCAUGGGCAACUAAACCUGGAGGGGGCACCGUGCCCGGUUCUCCCAGAGAAGAGAAGAAGGACUGGGCAGACAGCUCUCCAUCUCUCUGUGGAGGCCUCCCCUCCCACUUCCUUCCCCAACACCCCACCUCCACCUGCUGCUUCCAACCCCCAGCCCUGUUGGUUCUAGAAAGUUUGGUUGUUAUCCAGCAGGAGGAUGAGGACUGGUUUA